GACGAACGCUGGCGGCGUGCUUAACACAUGCAAGUCGAGCGACGCUCUUCCUUCGGGGAGAUGACGUAGCGGCGAGCGGGUGAGUAACACGUGGGCAACCUGCCCCUAGCUCUGGGACAACACCGGGAAACCGGUGCUAAUACCGGAUACGACAUCGAGCGGCAUCUCUCGUUGUGGAAAGUUUUUUCGGCUAGGGAUGGGCUCGCGGCCUAUCAGCUUGUUGGUGGGGUAAUGGCCCACCAAGGCGACGACGGGUAGCCGGCCUGAGAGGGCGACCGGCCACACAGGGAGUGAGACACGGCCCAGACUCCGACGGGAGGCGGCAGUGGGGAAUAUUGCGCAAUGGGCGAAAGCCGGACGCAGCGACGGCGCGUGAGGGAUGCCGGCCGUCGGGAUGUAAACCUCUUUCAGCAGGGACGAAUUCAGACGGUACCUGCAGAAGAAGCACCGGCCAACUACGUG
This 462-nucleotide ribosomal RNA is filed under the name uncultured bacterium. RNAcentral describes it as "partial 16S ribosomal RNA". It matches the Rfam family "Bacterial small subunit ribosomal RNA", at positions 28 to 507 of the family's 1533-position model. The record is from RNAcentral.